UACGGAGGGUGCAAGCUUUGUCCGGAUUUAUUGGGUUUAAAGGGUGCGUAGGUGGUAGCCCAAGUCUGGUUUGAAAGCUGGUCGCUCAACGAUCAGAUGUGGCUGGAAACUGGGUUACUUGAAUUGAUUGGCGGUAGCCGGAAUGGGUCAUGUAGCGGUGAAAUGCAUAGAUAUGACCCGGAACCCCGAUUGCGAAGGCAGGCUACUACGAUUUGAUUGACACUGAGGCACGAGAGCAUGGGUAGCGAACAGG
Molecule: ribosomal RNA, 253 nt
Filed under: uncultured bacterium
Lineage: Bacteria
Description: partial 16S ribosomal RNA
Rfam family: Bacterial small subunit ribosomal RNA
Source: RNAcentral